Perognathus longimembris pacificus (Pacific pocket mouse) is the source of this 102-nucleotide small nuclear RNA. The record is from RefSeq and is a predicted model, not a curated record. NCBI's taxonomy places the organism in Eukaryota, Metazoa, Chordata, Mammalia, Rodentia, Heteromyidae.
GCUCAUUUGGCUGCACAUGUACUAAAAUUGGAAUACAGAGAAAAUUAUUAUGGUGCCCGCACAAGGAUGACAUGCAAAAUUUGUGAAGCAUUCUGUACUUUA